Molecule: long non-coding RNA, 1214 nt
Filed under: Suricata suricatta (meerkat)
Lineage: Eukaryota; Metazoa; Chordata; Mammalia; Carnivora; Herpestidae
Description: lncRNA (ENSSSUG00005022443.1)
Source: RNAcentral
UAUUUUUUGAGAGAGAGAAAGAGACGAGUGUGAGCAGGGAAGGGGCAGAGAGAGAGGGAGACAUAGAAUCCAAAGCAGGUGCCAGGCUCUGAGCUGUCAGCCAUCCAGGUGCCCCAUCGAGCUGCAUUUCAUUUAGUUUCCCCCCCCACCCCCUGAGGUUUUCUUAUUCUUUUGUUUGGAGCACACUUUUCUGUUCAUUUUGCUUUACUUUCUGUGUUUGUUUCUAUGAAUUAGGUGGAACAGGUACUUCUAAAUUUUUAAGAAAUUUGUUCUGAGAGAGAGCAUGUGCACAAGCGCGGGGAGCGGGGACAGACAGAGGGAGAGAAUCCCAAGCAGGCUCCGCCCUCUCCGUGGGCAGCCGGUUGUGUGGGGCUCGACCUCGCGAAUCCUGAGAUCAUGACUGAGCCGAAACCAAGAGGCUGGCCCUUAACUCACUGAGCCACCCAGGCGCCCCUCCUCCUCCUAAUCCCGAAGGAAGGAACUGGUGUGUCCCCUGCGUAGACGGUGUCUGGUGUCGUUGGCUGGCUGUUGCUGUCGCAGGCUGGGGUCCUGGAGCGCUGCGUUCUGGGGCGAACCUGGUGGUGUGGCAGUUGGCGUGGGCUGGGAGUCACAGCCCUCCCCCGCAGCAGGCGGCCUGGCUGGCCUGCCCGGGGGUGGGGGUCAGCCACACAGCUUAGUGGCCCUAGAACGCCACAUGCGGCGGAUGCGCUGGCGACGCGGCUGGACCCGAGGCAUCGGGGAGCCGGGAGGUUUCUGGGUGCUCUCUGCGGGGGGCCCUGGCAGGGCGUCCGAGCCGAGGUGGACACGGACGGCUGGAGAGGGGAUGGGCCUUGGUCAGGGGUCCGCAGAGGGGACCCGGAGGAACCGUUCUGCAAAGAGCGGUAGAGGUGCGACCCGCCGAGGUGGCGCGGGGCCUUCCCUGUCGCGCGCGGGGCUGCAGACCGUCAAGCGCUGUCCUUAACCUCCGGAAACGUCCCAGGGAAGGGAACAUUCGAGCGGCUCGGAAGCUGUAUCACAGAGACAGAGCGCACGGCAGAGCGCGCGUUGGUUCAGCAUCGAGGUGCAGCGUUUAGGAAAGUGAUCUUUGUUACCAUUUCAACGUUUUCAAUGGAUAAGACUAGCAAUUAGGGCAAAGUACAGUUUUUGGACUAAGACUCAAAUAAUAGUAAUGACUAGAAAUUCCUGAUCAUUUCAGUUGAAAGCCCGUUUUAUUU